RNAcentral lists this ribosomal RNA (494 nucleotides) under uncultured bacterium. Its description in RNAcentral is "partial 16S ribosomal RNA". It matches the Rfam family "Bacterial small subunit ribosomal RNA", at positions 28 to 507 of the family's 1533-position model. The record is from RNAcentral.
GACGAACGCUGGCGGCGCGCUUAACACAUGCAAGUCGAACGGAAAGGCCUGCUUUCCCUUGUGGAUUGCGGGUACUCGAGUGGCGAACGGGUGAGUAACACGUGAGUGAUCUGCCCCCAACUUGGGUAUAAGCCUGGGAAACUGGGUCUAAUUCCCGAUAGGACUGCAGGGUGGUGCCUGUGGUGGAAAACGAUUUUCUAGUGGUUGGGGAUGAGCCCGCGGCCUAUCAGCUUGUUGGUGGGGUAAUGGCCUACCAAGGCGGCGACGGGUAGCCGGCCUGAGAGGGUGGACGGCCACAUUGGGACUGAGAUACGGCCCAGACUCCUACGGGAGGCAGCAGUGGGGAAUAUUGCACAAUGGGCGGAAGCCUGAUGCAGCGACGCCGCGUGGGGGAUGACGGCCUUCGGGUGGUAAACUCCUUUCGACCGCGAGGAAGCCACCUGGUUGGAAGGGUGGUGACGGUAGUGGUAGAAGAAGCACCGGCUAACUACGUG